AGACUUGGAACCGCCCCUGGUGGGCGGAGCUGGUCUGUGCUCCUUUCAUAAGCGCAGGUGUGGGCAAUUAGGUAUUCCUCAGCAAACCUGAAGCUGCAAGUGUGUGGUCCAAGUUGGGCAAGUUGGUGUUAACUUCUGUCUAUGAAAGUCUGAUAUGGGUCCUCCCCUAAACUUCUUUUAGAACGGUGGGAAACAUUGCUCCCGUGAGAACAGUACAGUGGACUUCAUCGCCACUGACCCACAGUUAUUUGGGUGUGAUACGAACUUGUGGACAGAGUACCGAGCUGCUGCUUUGCCCGGUGGAUUUCUGGUUGCGGGCAAAGGACCCGACACAUCAGUGUGUUUUAAUUUGUUUUAAACUGGUGUAAGUCGACAGACUGACUGUUGCGGCUGUCGAUUGUUUUGUUUUGUUUUUCUUUUCUUUUUUCUGUAUCAGUAGGCACCACAAAUAUUGAUUCUUUUAGUAUUUUUAACCCUUUUCUUAAAUGUGUAUAGAUAUAUUGUCGCGAACGGUGAAGGCGCUGCAGGGAGAACAAAUCCUUUUUUUUCCCUCACCGCUUCUGCAUGCACAGCGGUGGGCCUGAGUGAAGACGGCACUGAAGCUUUUGUUUUUCUCUAUAGUGUUUUGCCCAUUUGGGGUCGUGUCAGUUGCUGUCCCUUUUUAACCUGUGUUAUGUUGAUUUGUUUUUAAUGGUUCCCCGCAGCGCUUGUCCUGUCUCACGGGCAAUCAUACAGUUUUAUCGUUUUUAAAUAAGGUAAAGCUUUUAAUUGUUUAAGUGCCGCUGUUACAUUGUUACUUUUAUUUUGUAUUAAAAAUUAAAUUCUUUUUAACUGACUGUGCGCCUACGGCUCUGUCCUAUUUUAAAUAGGUACCUACCACGGGUCACAUAUAUAAAAUCUUCUUAUUUAACAUUUUUAACUCUUUUUACUGUUCUUUUUAACUUGAAUACAUAAAAAUGAAUUAUUUUAAAGCAAACAUUAAAGAUAAAUGACAUAAUUGCCUUUGAGGAAUCACAAGUUGUGUUUUAUUAAAUUAUAUAAACAAAGAGGAUUUAAACGUGGGGCAAGGACAGGUGACCAGUGUUCUUUAAAAGACAAGUUCAUUGACUUUUUCCAUGUAUGCCCUGCUUUCUAGCAGACAGGGCAUACAUGGAACUCUAUAACAAGUGGCCAGCAUAGCAUACAGGGACAUCUGUGCUCAGUGGGGCCAAAGAGGUUUGCGUUAAAAAACAGAUUUAUGAGAUUUUUAGGGUUUUGUGGCCAAAUAGAAAACCUGGAGAGGUAGACGAGGUCAGUUUAACUGAUAUCAGUCCUAUCACAGCCAUUAAGGGGAAAAUGUCUUCUCUUCCUCGGUGGACUCUACAAACACAGUCUACUGAACACAGUGGCUAAAAAUAUAAAAUGCAGAGGCUGUUGUAAAAGUUAUCAGCAGCUUUCUUUUAGGGCUCUGAAUGUUGUAAUUUUUUCAGUGAGAACACAACACACGUAAAACCUGCUCACAACUAAGUCUGGAUUUUGGUCUUAUACAUGAGUCCAGGACACUCAGAUGCAGGUCAGAUUUCCAUGUAUCUGAAAUGAGGUAAUCAAUGUGUUUAGAGAGUCAGUCAGCUCUGAUACUUCAGGGUCACUGCAGGAAGGUAGAAAUCUGUGUGGAGAGACAGGAAUAGGAAGUAAAGUGACAAAUUAGAGAACAGAUUAUUUCACAAUAAAACAGGAAGUGAAACAAAAAGAAAACCAAAGGAUCACCACAGAGAGAAGAAAAUAAUAGAAUCAAAGUGAAACUAGAAACGUUCAGAAUAACAAUGAGUUCAAAGUGUGCGGAGGUCUGAUGUUCCAACAGUGUUCAGGCUGAGAAUUAUUACC
Oreochromis aureus is the source of this 1863-nucleotide long non-coding RNA. RefSeq lists it as uncharacterized. The transcript is spliced from 3 exons. NCBI's taxonomy places the organism in Eukaryota, Metazoa, Chordata, Actinopteri, Cichliformes, Cichlidae. The record is from RefSeq and is a predicted model, not a curated record.